This 359-nucleotide ribosomal RNA is filed under the name uncultured organism. RNAcentral describes it as "bacterial SSU rRNA". It matches the Rfam family "Bacterial small subunit ribosomal RNA", at positions 138 to 529 of the family's 1533-position model. The record is from RNAcentral.
GGGGAACAACAGCUGGAAACGGCUGCUAAUACCCCAUAGGCUGAGGAGCAAAAGGAGGAAUCCGCCCAAGGAGGGGCUCGCGUCUGAUUAGUUAGUUGGUGAGGCAAUGGCUUACCAAGGCGACGAUCAGUAGCUGGUCCGAGAGGAUGGUCAGCCACACUGGGACUGAGACACGGCCCAGACUCCUACGGGAGGCAGCAGUGGGGAAUUUUCCGCAAUGGGCGAAAGCCUGACGGAGCAAUGCCGCGUGAAGGCAGAAGGCCCACGGGUCAUGAACUUCUUUUCUCGGAGAAGAAAAAUGACGGUAUCUGAGGAAUAAGCAUCGGCUAACUCUGUGCCAGCAGCCGCGGUAAGACAGA